GAUGAACGCUGGCGGCGUGCCUAAUACAUGCAAGUCGAGCGAACGGACGAGAAGCUUGCUUCUCUGAUGUUAGCGGCGGACGGGUGAGUAACACGUGGAUAACCUACCUAUAAGACUGGGAUAACUUCGGGAAACCGUAGCUAAUACCGGAUAAUAUUUUGAACCGCAUGGUUCAAAAGUGAAAGACGGUCUUGCUGUCACUUAUAGAUGGAUCCGCGCUGCAUUAGCUAGUUGGUAAGGUAACGGCUUACCAAGGCAACGAUGCAUAACCGACCUGAGAGGGUGAUCGGCCACACUGGAACUGAGACACGGUCCAGACUCCUACGGGAGGCAGCAGUAGGGAAUCUUCCGCAAUGGGCGAAAGCCUGACGGAGCAACGCCGCGUGAGUGAUGAAGGUCUUCGGAUCGUAAAACUCUGUUAUUAGGGAAGAACAUAUGUGUAAGUAACUGUGCACAUCUUGACGGUACCUAAUCAGAAAGCCACGGCUAACUACGUG
This 497-nucleotide ribosomal RNA is filed under the name uncultured bacterium. RNAcentral describes it as "partial 16S ribosomal RNA". It matches the Rfam family "Bacterial small subunit ribosomal RNA", at positions 28 to 507 of the family's 1533-position model. The record is from RNAcentral.